RNAcentral lists this ribosomal RNA (502 nucleotides) under uncultured bacterium. Its description in RNAcentral is "partial 16S ribosomal RNA". It matches the Rfam family "Bacterial small subunit ribosomal RNA", at positions 30 to 523 of the family's 1533-position model. The record is from RNAcentral.
AUUGAACGCUGGCGGCAGGCUUAACACAUGCAAGUCGAGCGGGGUGAUGGUGCUUGCACUAUCACUUAGCGGCGGACGGGUGAGUAAUGCUUAGGAAUCUGCCUAUUAGUGGGGGACAACAUCUCGAAAGGGAUGCUAAUACCGCAUACGUCCUACGGGAGAAAGCAGGGGAUCACUUGUGACCUUGCGCUAAUAGAUGAGCCGAAGUCGGAUUAGCUAGUUGGUGGGGUAAAGGCCUACCAAGGCGACGAUCUGUAGCGGGUCUGAGAGGAUGAUCCGCCACACUGGGACUGAGACACGGCCAGACUCCUACGGGAGGCAGCAGUGGGGAGUAUUGGACAAUGGGGGGAACCCUGAUCCAGCCAUGCCGCGUGUGUGAAGAAGGCCUUAUGGUUGUAAAGCACUUUAAGCGAGGAGGAGGCUCUUUUGGUUAAUACCCAAAAUGAGUGGACGUUACUCGCAGAAUAAGCACCGGCUAACUCUGUGCCAGCAGCCGCAGUAA